Long non-coding RNA from Anopheles merus, 1075 nucleotides. RefSeq lists it as uncharacterized. Lineage: Eukaryota; Metazoa; Arthropoda; Insecta; Diptera; Culicidae. The transcript has 3 exons. The record is from RefSeq and is a predicted model, not a curated record.
AGACGUUUGAAAGCCACAAAGUCAAGCCAACUACCACCCAUCCAGCAACUGGGGACGACAUUUGCGCAAGUAUAAAAAAAACACACACACACAAAUAUAGAAAAUGACCGUCCCAGCUUUAUAAAGGCGAGAUGAAACACAGGCAGAAGAGCGAACCAAAACAAAUAAGCACAAAAAAGUGAAGCAAAUAACAUGACAUAAGUACGCAGCAGCAGCAGCAGCGGCGGCUAAGAAGGGACACAAAAUUCCACCUCACGGCGAACGGCCACUAUCAUUGUCGCUGGGGUGGAGUGAUGGGAUGCAGAGAGUACGGGUUUCGAUACAUGGAGACAUAAGAAGAAGUCAUUUGAGUUCCCUUUGUAUUCAGAAACAUUGAUAGACUUUUUGAUUGGUUGGCGAUUCCGUAACCACGAACCACUACCGUCCGCAACGGUCUUAGCGGAGGAACCAAAAGCUUAUUAGUCAUAAAACAGCACGGUACAUGUUUCAACUCGAUAUGAGAAGUUCUAUAAACUUUCAAAUACACACUGCCAGUAAAAUGAAACAUCGAAUCGGCACACACAGCGGUUAAUCGCUCAUGGAGACAAAAGAAGAAGUUGUUAGUGUCGAAUUGGUCAACCAGAAAAAAAAGUGUUCUCUAUCAUGAGUACAGAAAUUUACACAAAAACACGAAAAAAGACCCAAGUGGAGAUCUAGUACACUUGAAGUACGGAAAAAUGAAAAUGAAAUGAAUGUACCAGAAAAAUAUCAACGUGUCACAGUGACAUUUUUUCCGUGACUGUCGAAUGAAAGCGUGAAUCUAGAGUGCGAUGCUGCAAACAGUGUCAUUUUGUAAAAUUGUAUGUCAACGAGUAUCACCGUUCACAACACUGGGCACAGUCACGUAUCUAUUAACGACUCCGUUGUAGUUGAGCGCAAUGGUCACCCAAAACCGAGCAUCAAGAAAGGCUGGCUCCGAUCGACAUCAGCCUCAGUAUUAAUUCGUAUUCGCAAGCAAUCCCGAAUUUGAUAAGAUUUUAUUAAAUUUUCUCGCAAUUCGCACCCCUCAUCCAAUUGAACGUCUGAAUGCCAAACU